GAUGAACGCUGGCGGCGUGCCUAAUACAUGCAAGUCGAGCGGACAGACGAGGAGCUUGCUCCUCUGACGUUAGCGGCGGACGGGUGAGUAACACGUGGAUAACCUACCUAUAAGACUGGGAUAACUUCGGGAAACCGGAGCUAAUACCGGAUAACAUGUUGAACCGCAUGGUUCAACAGUGAAAGACGGUUUUGCUGUCACUUAUAGAUGGAUCCGCGUCGCAUUAGCUAGUUGGUAAGGUAACGGCUUACCAAGGCAACGAUGCGUAGCCGACCUGAGAGGGUGAUCGGCCACACUGGAACUGAGACACGGUCCAGACUCCUACGGGAGGCAGCAGUAGGGAAUCUUCCGCAAUGGGCGAAAGCCUGACGGAGCAACGCCGCGUGAGUGAAGAAGGUCUUCGGAUCGUAAAACUCUGUUAUUAGGGAAGAACAAAUGUGUAAGUAACUAUGCACGUCUUGACGGUACCUAAUCAGAAAGCCACGGCUAACUACGUG
RNAcentral lists this ribosomal RNA (497 nucleotides) under uncultured bacterium. RNAcentral's name for it is "partial 16S ribosomal RNA". It matches the Rfam family "Bacterial small subunit ribosomal RNA", at positions 28 to 507 of the family's 1533-position model. The record is from RNAcentral.